Molecule: long non-coding RNA, 1077 nt
Filed under: Trifolium pratense (red clover)
Lineage: Eukaryota; Viridiplantae; Streptophyta; Magnoliopsida; Fabales; Fabaceae
Description: long non-coding RNA (TPRA_LNC008195)
Source: RNAcentral
AUACACUUACAAUGAAGUGUGUCACACAAUGAGCUUUUAAGACCAGAAAAAAAACUUGAGAAACAUGGAGAUGUUGCUUCUGCAAAAGAGAAACAAUGGUUAAAAGAUAUAACUAAUAAAUUUGCUACCUAUCUCAAUAUGUACAAAUACAUAGAUCUAACAUUUGCAACAUCAUUAUUAAUUUACUACUACCCUUAGAGAGGUAUUCUUUACUCCUCUGUUAAAUCUAUUGUCACUUACACAUAUACUAUGUCAACACCAACAAUCAUCAACAAAGCACUUACGCAUAUAUUAUAUCAACACCAAGAUUAUAUUUUACACAACAAUAUUUAUUUUAAAUAGAACUUCUUCCUAGCUUUCUCUUCAUUUUCUCAUUUUUCUAACAAAAGAACCAAAUAUNNNNNNNNNNNNNNNNNNNNNNNNNNNNNNNNNNNNNAGAUCUGAAUAUUGUUACAUACCAUGUAGAUCUGAAGAGAAAUUUGUAGAUCUGAUGAUUAUUAUUUAUCAUGUCGAUCUAACAUUAAAAACAACAGAUCAAAGUAUUAGUCACAUAAAGAGAAGACUUGAAAUCCUUAACAAAAAACGAAAACAAACAAGUUAAAACUCUAACCUUUGUCUACCUUCAACUUCACAAACAAGCGUAGCCUCUUGUUCCUCAGCCAUGAGGAUCUUUAUAUCUUUCUUCUUAUGUAUUCCAUGAUAAAAAAACAAAAAACAAAAAAAAAAGCAAAAUCGUAAAGAGUUGUAAAAACUUAAAACGAAAAACCCAAUAAAGAAAUCGAACACGAAGAAAAUGGAGGAGAUGGAUGGGUAGGUGCUUUGAGUUCGACGAGGUGGAUGGAUGAGAUGACGACUCACGACUGGUGAAAACGGAGGAGAAGGAGUGAGUUGGCGGCGGCGCAUAAGGGUUCACUCUACUAGGGUUUGGAACAUUGGAACAAAGUGAGAUAACUGAAGGAGUUGGCCAAAGUUAAGAACCAAAAUGGCAAAAACGACGUCGUAUACGUAUCAGUAUUAAAAUUAAAAUAAAAAUACUAAUAAACACGGGUCGGUUCGGAUACCCGUGGAUGACAAAUC